GGACCCGCACAAGUAGUGGAGCAUGUGGUUUAAUUCGAAGAUACGCGCAGAACCUUACCAACACUUGACAUGUUCGUCGCGACUUUAAGAGAUUAAAGUUUUCGGUUCGGCCGGACGAAACACAGGUGCUGCAUGGCUGUCGUCAGCUCGUGUCGUGAGAUGUUGGGUUAAGUCCCGCAACGAGCGCAACCCUCACUUUUAGUUGCCAUCAUUUAGUUGGGCACUCUGAAAGAACUGCCAGUGAUAAGCUGGAGGAAGGUGGGGAUGACGUCAAGUCCUCAUGGCCCUUACGUGUUGGGCUACACACGUGCUACAAUGGUAUCUACAACAGGAAGCAAAACGGCAACGUUAAGCAAAUCCUAAAAAGAUAUCUCAGUUCGGAUUGCACUCUGCAACUCGAGUGCAUGAAGCUGGAAUUACUAGUAA
This 426-nucleotide ribosomal RNA is filed under the name uncultured bacterium. RNAcentral's name for it is "bacterial SSU rRNA". It matches the Rfam family "Bacterial small subunit ribosomal RNA", at positions 917 to 1341 of the family's 1533-position model. The record is from RNAcentral.